CGACUGGAUCAGGACGGAGGGGGCGGCGUGGGAGGACGGCGUCGCCGAGGGGGAGGCCCACAUGUUUGGUCCGUCUCAAACGGCUAAACUCGGACGGCGACGACGGGACGGAGGGGGACGGAUUUAACUUUGGAGGUAUCUUCUAUAUGGAGACGUAUCUGCAAAAGCAGGCCAUAUGUUUUCCCAGCCUGAGGUUUCUGAUUUCUUUGCUAAGUUAAUACAAAGGGUCUCACCAAAGAGUUACCAGUAGGCUCUCGGUGUGGUUUAUGUUAACGGAAAGUUUUUAGAAAACUUUUCUGGUGAUCAGGUGCGUUUCUUGGCAAGGUCGUUCGGAGUACCUGGGAAUCAUCUUGGGCAACAAAGUCAUGGUUUCCGAUGGCCAUAUGGCCCUGUAAGACACCCUUCACAUAUU
Helianthus annuus (common sunflower) is the source of this 412-nucleotide long non-coding RNA. RefSeq lists it as uncharacterized. The record is from RefSeq and is a predicted model, not a curated record. NCBI's taxonomy places the organism in Eukaryota, Viridiplantae, Streptophyta, Magnoliopsida, Asterales, Asteraceae. The transcript is spliced from 4 exons.